Molecule: long non-coding RNA, 1979 nt
Organism: Cyprinus carpio (common carp)
Lineage: Eukaryota; Metazoa; Chordata; Actinopteri; Cypriniformes; Cyprinidae
Source: RefSeq, a predicted model, not a curated record
AUGCUAAUACAGUUAUCAUUAUCAUUAUCUCUAAAGUUAUUGUUCUUAGUGUGAACAGGUCUUAACACUAUAUGAUGACUACAUGUAUUUUUGUUUGUCCUUUAUGAAAUGUCAGCAACAUUAUGUGGGGGUGCCCAACGACUUGAGAUAUUAACAUUAUGCAAAUGAGCAGUGAUGCAGUUCGGUGACUACCAAUAGAAUUGCAGACGCUGGAGCUGAUGUGAUCCCUCUCCUGUGAGAUAUUGCAUUCGAGCAUCAGCCAGAUGGAGAAGUUCAUGUUGCUGUUUUCAAAAGCUUUGGCCAGUUGCUCAUCCAGUGGCAGGAACACCUACAGCCCAGCGACCUGCAGCUUCCAGCAAUAAAACUGCUGUCAUAGAGAACGCUGCUUAAAUUUGUGUCACAGAAAACGGAAGACCUCUCCAACAUUGUGUUGUUACUCAGAAGGCAAUGCCUCACCAUCAAACUGUCUCGUCACCUCAUCUCCUCCUGGAAUGGCUUACCUUCUGACACAAAGCACCAUCAGGGCAGAGCAUGAAUGACUCUGGAGCGCUGAAAGAAAGCCAAUGACACCCUGUCCUCAAAACAAAGGACGUGAUUUCAGCGGUUGCAUCAUGUUGGUUGAAUCUCCUACUCUUGAUGAGGCCUGAGAUCAUUAUCUGAAGCAGAUUCAGGCCGGCUCUUAGAGAAAUGCCCUGCAGCUUUUUUUGUAUUACGAUCUAAAGAGGCCCACAAUGUGCACUGACUUUUGCCAGCUAUUGGAGUUCAGAUAUGCUCCAAGCUUUUAACAACCUCUACCGUCGACCCCCGCAUGAACGCCACUGCUCAGUUUGCUGCGUAAAUGUGUCUCACCUAACGAACAGUGUGCCGUUUUGUGUUAAUGAAGAUGGCCUCUCUUCCGCUGGGUGGAGCGUGAAUGAUCUGCAGCACGUUCUUGCUGACUGAUAAUGGAAUUGAUUGUGACAGCAUUUCUUCUGUCAGGAUAAUUACAAGGCUCGGUGCGCAGUGACUGUAUGUUGCUCAGAGGUCUGGCCAAUACUCACUCGCCAAUGAGCCUCAUGCUUUCAAAAUACACUGAAUGUGAUAGUAUUGGGACAGUAGAAAAUGCUCUGAUGCAAACUGGGGUCUUCUGCACCAAAUCAGCAUAUUAGAAUGAUGUCUAAAGAAUCAUGUAACACUAAAACUUCACGGCUGCUGAAAAUUCAGCUUUACCAUCACAGGAAUAAAUGACAUUUUAAAAUAGAAAAUAGUUGUUUUAAUUGUAAUAAUGCUUCACAAUAUUAAUGCUUUUACUGUGGAUUAUUGUGAUGUUUUUAUACACACUUUGGACUCUGAUGGCACCAAUUCACUGCAUUGUUGAGCAAGUGAUGUAAUGCUAUGAUCUGAUGAAGAAACAAACUCAUCUACAUCUAGGAUGGCAUGAGGGAGAGUAAAUUUUCAUUUCUCACUGAUCUGACAGUUAUUGAUCCUUUGAAUCGACGCUGGAAAGGAGAGAUCCCUUGUUGGGCUUGUUUGUAGCUCCAGUCUCUUUCUCAUUCCCUGUGGAGGUUCUGCCUUCCCACAAACACCCCGUACUCUUCCACAGUGUCUAGACUGUCAUUAUAGUGUUCAUCCUGUCAGGGUGUCAGAGGGAAUAAGCCACUCACAGGUUUUCAUGACAGAUGAAACCGUUCUUGCAGCUUGCUUGGAGUGAAACAAACUUCAAGUCAAGAACAGACAAAUAACAUUGACAGGAAGUUGCUGGAAAAGUUUCUUGUUGAAAGACAAUUAUGAACAACCCUCUUUUUUAUGAUGUUAACAUAACAGGUUGUAUCUUUAAAGAAAUAACUGUUAACAUUGGUCUGGGUAGUUAAGCCACAUGGCAGUGUUUGGAAUGUAAUGCUAACAUUAUAAUAUAUAUAUUAUAUAUAUAUAAUUUUUAUAUUUAUAGAAUGUAGUAUGAUUUAUAAAGUGAAUAAUGUACUAGUUUAACUGCAGCAACU